This 618-nucleotide long non-coding RNA is filed under the name Calidris pugnax (ruff). RNAcentral's name for it is "lncRNA (ENSCPUG00000000664.1)". The record is from RNAcentral. Lineage: Eukaryota; Metazoa; Chordata; Aves; Charadriiformes; Scolopacidae.
GGAAACCGUUAAAUUGCCGGUUGUAAAGCUGUGUUAAAAAAAUAAUAAUAAAAAAACAAGCGAGCCAUAUUGCAUGUGUAGGGACAGACUGUGCCACUAAGUCACAGGCCCAAGCCGUGGGUGGUGUGGAGCAGCAUUGUUCCCCAGCAAUUAAAAUGAACACGCUCGCCACACAAAACUGCAAUGUGUUCCUUCCUUUGCGAGUUGUGCCCUCCUUCUGGCUGCGCUUCUGCUCCCUGACACCACCAGCCAUCCUGGCCAGCAGCAGCCCUCCCUGGUGUUCCGGGGGAAUUUGGGGGACUGCGGGUGUCACCGAUGUCUCUCCGCAAAGAAGGAAGAUUUGGAAGGAAUACACUAAUACUGAUGAUAGGUGUUCAGUGCGGAGCAGCUUGUGCAGCUGGAUGGAUGAGAUGUGGGUUGUGGAGCAGUUCCUAUGCUGACCUGAUUCCCGGGGUCAGGCGGUGGGGCAUCAGCUCUCCUUCCCAGAUCUCACGCAGGAGCACGGACCAACUUUUACUCGGCAGCCAGGACUGGGGUGAUGUGUCCUGCUGCAGAGAGGGAACAUCAUGGGGCCAUUCUCUUGUAAAUCUUCUGCUGCCCAGCACUCACCGCUGUUGA